Long non-coding RNA from Nothoprocta perdicaria, 2164 nucleotides. RefSeq lists it as uncharacterized. The record is from RefSeq and is a predicted model, not a curated record. Lineage: Eukaryota; Metazoa; Chordata; Aves; Tinamiformes; Tinamidae. The transcript is spliced from 6 exons.
AAAAGAAAAGUAUCUGGGUUUGUAGCGAAGACCAAGAGGAAUUUUCCGCUGCUGCCAGAGCAGUGGGAGAGCAGAUGGCUGGAAGUUGGGAAGGCAGCUCCAGAGUGCAGCAGUGAGCAGCACGCGACAGCAUCCCCAGAGCCAGGAGACUGCCUGYGAGGGGAAGGCAUGCUUGGUUGCUGGUUCACCAGUGCUUAARUAAUAGCUGGAAUUGCUUUGGAGAGCAGCAAUGGUAUUAAGACAAAGUUUCAGGUAGAUGGAUGUGUACAGUAGAAUUAACAGGAAGAUGCACCUUUUUCCACGAGACUGCUGCUCUGAAAUCUCUGCUGGUUACAUCUUCUGGUUCCUCAGAAUAAAAUAGCAACUGUGGCUCCUGUCCCUGAGCAUGAACUUCAUUGCAAGAAUGACCGAUUGACUGGCAGACYCUUCCCUCCUGUCUUAACAACAGCAGGCGAUUGCAGUGAGUGCUUCCUUUGCAGUCCUCUGCAAGACAGCUUAAAUAGGUUUAAGAGCCAUACAGUGACAUUUGCAGCCAAGAUCAUUAUGCUGUGCACUAAGCUAAUUUGAGAGGAUGCUCAAAUUUUAACCCUUUCAAUUAUUUAUGGUAGCCAAGCAGAAGAGAGUAGUGGUGUAUAAACUCACAGUUUCAGACAGCCAAUGUGAAUGCCUUCUGUUUUGAAAAUCUGGAAGAAUACCAACCAGCUCUGGAAUGGCUAUUUUCUUCUAUAGAUUCAUCACAUCCAGGACUAACUUUGAAAUCAAAUAAAUGGAAUAAAAAAUUAUCGGAACAAGAUGACCAACACAGCUUGGAGAGGGAAAAGCAGCUGUGCUCUUCAGGUGUCCCCAGGAGUUAAACAGAAGUAUAUAUGGAGCAGCAGUCAGCUACACACAUCUCUGGAGAACAYGAUGUUGAUGGAAAGAGAACAGUGCUUCAGGAGCCUGUCCURGUACUGACUUCAACUCAUUGUUCAGCUAGUAUCAUCAGGACAGAAUUGUCAUAGAUGUACUUUGAAACUGCUCUGCCAAAAGGGAGAUCUGUGAAUGAAAGUCUAAACUUGUAUCACCUCUAGCAAGAGGCURCUGGAGGUCUUCAACCUAACAGGUAGCUAUGGACUGACAGGAAAAUGGUUGAGCUGCUGUUCUGCUUUCCAGUUUCCCCAGAACUCAAAGGGAUAGACUACAGAUAGAACUUCAACAAAAAUAUAAGGUAACCUUAUMUCCUAAAGUGAAGAUAUUCCUUAGCAAGCUUUCUUGUGAAAUGUGUUGUGAUAUUGGGCAAUGACUUAUUUAUUAGUAAAAAGCAAAAAGUAGUUAAGUGGCUCCCCAGGCAGCAUGUUGUAAGCCCUUUAUUUUGUGUGUAAUUGCAAAUGCMAUUGUAAAUAUGAAAGUGCUGCUGCACUGUACCCAAACUCUUCUCGAAGUGACAUUUCCCAAGUCCCCUAUCCAGCCUAUUUUCACUAAUGCCUCCUGAUCAAAUCUCAUUUCUUUGGUUUAUUUUUCACCUCUUUCUUGUCUGUUUUACUUAGUACUUCUCUACAACUCCCUACCCUAGUCUGGCAAGACAUUGCAAUGUCUCUUGCACUUAAGGCUCCUUUUUACUAUAUCCUUAUUCUUGUCUGGUAUCCUCUGCAUUUAGGCUAGGGGGACAAUGUAUCUGAGAAACUUUUCUCUCCUUAUAAUAAACUGGUUCUUUAGUGUCACUUUUGCUCAUCAUUAGACUAUUGUUAUCUUUAUUUUUCUUCUCCUGUCCCUCUGUUUUUUUCAGGUAGCAGCUGAACGUGACUAUGUAGCCGGUACUAUUGCUGAUUUUCCUAAGCUUUCAAUUUGCAACAAUAAUAGAAUGCAUAAAGCCUUGCUGCCCUUUCUUUUGUCUUUAUGUACAACACAUUUUAUGUGUCUUGUUCUUAUGUUUUUUUUAUAUGGAACAUCCCUCUGGAAAAUGAGGGGUAGAGUAAGAAGUUAGGUGUUGCUGGAUUGUGGAAGACUGAUUGUGUGCAUCAUCUCUGCCCAGGCAAAGAAGCAAAACAGCUUUUAGGAGGAGAAGUUGAGUAGUGGCAGAAYGAUAAUUAAUGAGGUUCAUUCAAAUGCCUUGCUCCUGUGUAGUUAAGAGCUUUUUCUGGCUGGCCUUUCUUAUAUCUAUGUUGUUAUUGCUACUGAUAUGAUG